AAGGUAGCGAAAUUCCUUGUCGGGUAAGUUCCGACCUGCACGAAUGGCGUAACGACUUCCCCACUGUCUCGACCAGGAGCUCGGCGAAAUUGCAGUACGAGUAAAGAUGCUCGUUAAGCGCAGAAGGACGAAAAGACCCCGGGACCUUUACUAUACCUUGGUAUUGGCGUUAGGCGCGGAUUGUGUAGCAUAGGCGGGAGGCUUCGAAGCGGGUGCGCCAGCAUUCGUGGAGCCGCAAGGUGAAAUACCGCUCUGUUCUCGUUUGACGUCUAACCUCGACAAGUCAUCCUUGUCAGGGACAGUGCCUGGCGGGUAGUUCAACUGGGGCGGUUGCCUCCCAAAGAGUAACGGAGGCGCUCAAAGGUCCGCUCAGCCCGGUUGGCAAUCGGGUGUCGAGUGUAAUCGCACAAGCGGGCUUGACUGCGAGGACGACGGUCCGAGCAGGGACGAAAGUCGGAGAUAGUGAUCCGGUGCCGGCGCACGGGCGCGGCAUCGCUCAACGGAUAAAAGGUACCCCGGGGAUAACAGGCUGAUCAUUCCCAAGAGUCCAUAUCGACGGGAUGGUUUGGCACCUCGAUGUCGGCUCGUCGCAUCCUGGGGCUGGAGCAGGUCCCAAGGGUUCGGCUGUUCGCCGAUUAAAGCGGCACGCGAGCUGGGUUCAGAACGUCGUGAGACAGUUUGGUCUCUAUCCUCUGCGCUCGUUGGAAUCCUGAGGAGGCCUGCCCAUAGUACGAGAGGACCUGGGUGGACGAACCUCUGGUAUGCCGGUUGUCGCGCCAGCGGCACGGCCGGUUGGCUACGUUCGGGAGGGAUAACCGCUGAAAGCAUCUAAGCGGGAAGCCUGCUCCAAGAUUAGGAUUCCAUGGAUCUUCGAGAUCCUGUAGCCCGCAUGUUGAACACGUGUUUGAUAGGCCGGAGGUGGAAGCCCCGUGAGGGGUGGAGCCGACCGGUACUAACGGGCGACGGCGACACAAC
This 975-nucleotide ribosomal RNA is filed under the name human gut metagenome. RNAcentral's name for it is "bacterial LSU rRNA". It matches the Rfam family "Bacterial large subunit ribosomal RNA", at positions 1953 to 2925 of the family's 2925-position model. The record is from RNAcentral.